This 472-nucleotide ribosomal RNA is filed under the name uncultured bacterium. RNAcentral's name for it is "bacterial SSU rRNA". It matches the Rfam family "Bacterial small subunit ribosomal RNA", at positions 8 to 526 of the family's 1533-position model. The record is from RNAcentral.
AGAGUUUGAUCAUGGCUCAGAACGAACGCUGGCGGCAGGCCUAACACAUGCAAGUCGAGCGGGCCCUUCGGGGUCAGCGGCGGACGGGUGAGUAACGCGUGGGAACGUGCCCUUUGGUACGGGAUAGCCUCUGGAAACGGAGAGUAAUACCGUAUGAGCCCUAUUGGGGAAAGAUUUAUCGCCAAGGGAUCGGCCCGCGUUGGAUUAGGUAGUUGGUGGGGUAAUGGCCUACCAAGCCGACGAUCCAUAGCUGGUUUGAGAGGAUGAUCAGCCACACUGGGACUGAGACACGGCCCAGACUCCUACGGGAGGCAGCAGUGGGGAAUCUUAGACAAUGGGGGCAACCCUGAUCUAGCCAUGCCGCGUGAGUGAAGAAGGCCCUAGGGUCGUAAAGCUCUUUCGCCGGGGAAGAUAAUGACUGUACCCGGUAAAGAAACCCCGGCUAGCUUCGUGCCAGCAGCCGCGGUAAUAC